ACAGGUUUACCUGUGUGACUGCGUACCUUUUGUAUAAUGGGUCAGCGACUUAUAUUCUGUAGCAAGGUUAACCGAAUAGGGGAGCCGGAGGGAAACCGAGUCUUAAUUGGGCGUUAAGUUGCAGGGUAUAGACCCGAAACCCGGUGAUCUAGCCAUGGGCAGGUUGAAGGUUGGGUAACACUAACUGGAGGACCGAACCGACUAAUGUUGAAAAAUUAGCGGAUGACCUGUGGCUGGGGGUGAAAGGCCAAUCAAACCGGGAGAUAGCUGGUUCUCCCCGAAAGCUAUUUAGGUAGCGCCUCGUGAAUUCAUCUCCGGGGGUAGAGCACUGUUUCGGCUAGGGGGCCAUCCCGGCUUACCAACCCGAUGCAAACUGCGAAUACCGGAGAAUGUUAUCACGGGAGACACACGGCGGGUGCUAACGUCCGUCGUGAAGAGGGAAACAACCCAGACCGCCAGCUAAGGUCCCAAAGUCAUGGUUAAGUGGGAAACGAUGUGGGAAGGCCCAGACAGCCAGGAUGUUGGCUUAGAAGCAGCCAUCAUUUAAAGAAAGCGUAAUAGCUCACUGGUCGAGUCGGCCUGCGCGGAAGAUGUAACGGGGCUAAACCAUGCACCGAAGCUGCGGCAGCGACACUGUGUGUUGUUGGGUAGGGGAGCGUUCUGUAAGCCUGCGAAGGUGGCCUGUGAGGGUUGCUGGAGGUAUCAGAAGUGCGAAUGCUGACAUAAGUAACGAUAAAGCGGGUGAAAAGCCCGCUCGCCGGAAGACCAAGGGUUCCUGUCCAACGUUAAUCGGGGCAGGGUGAGUCGACCCCUAAGGCGAGGCCGAAAGGCGUAGUCGAUGGGAAACGGGUUAAUAUUCCCGUACUUGGUGUUACUGCGAAGGGGGGACGGAGAAGGCUAUGUUGGCCGGGCGACGGUUGUCCCGGUUUAAGCGUGUAGGUGUGUGUUCCAGGUAAAUCCGGUUCACUUUAACACUGAGGCGUGACGACGAGGCACUACGGUGCUGAAGCAACAAAUGCCCUGCUUCCAGGAAAAGCCUCUAAGCAUCAGGUAACAUCAAAUCGUACCCCAAACCGACACAGGUGGUCAGGUAGAGAAUACCAAGGCGCUUGAGAGAACUCGGGUGAAGGAACUAGGCAAAAUGGUGCCGUAACUUCGGGAGAAGGCACGCUGACACGUAGGUGAAGUGAUUUACUCAUGGAGCUGAAGUCAGUCGAAGAUACCAGCUGGCUGCAACUGUUUAUUAAAAACACAGCACUGUGCAAACACGAAAGUGGACGUAUACGGUGUGACGCCUGCCCGGUGCCGGAAGGUUAAUUGAUGGGGUCAGCGCAAGCGAAGCUCCUGAUCGAAGCCCCGGUAAACGGCGGCCGUAACUAUAACGGUCCUAAGGUAGCGAAAUUCCUUGUCGGGUAAGUUCCGACCUGCACGAAUGGCGUAAUGAUGGCCAGGCUGUCUCCACCCGAGACUCAGUGAAAUUGAACUCGCUGUGAAGAUGCAGUGUACCCGCGGCAAGACGGAAAGACCCCGUGAACCUUUACUAUAGCUUGACACUGAACAUUGAGCCUUGAUGUGUAGGAUAGGUGGGAGGCUUUGAAGUGUGGACGCCAGUCUGCAUGGAGCCGACCUUGAAAUACCACCCUUUAAUGUUUGAUGUUCUAACGUGGACCCGUUACCCGGGUUGCGGACAGUGUCUGGUGGGUAGUUUGACUGGGGCGGUCUCCUCCUAAAGAGUAACGGAGGAGCACGAAGGUUGGCUAAUCCUGGUCGGACAUCAGGAGGUUAGUGCAAUGGCAUAAGCCAGCUUGACUGCGAGCGUGACGGCGCGAGCAGGUGCGAAAGCAGGUCAUAGUGAUCCGGUGGUUCUGAAUGGAAGGGCCAUCGCUCAACGGAUAAAAGGUACUCCGGGGAUAACAGGCUGAUACCGCCCAAGAGUUCAUAUCGACGGCGGUGUUUGGCACCUCGAUGUCGGCUCAUCACAUCCUGGGGCUGAAGUAGGUCCCAAGGGUAUGGCUGUUCGCCAUUUAAAGUGGUACGCGAGCUGGGUUUAGAACGUCGUGAGACAGUUCGGUCCCUAUCUGCCGUGGGCGCUGGAGAACUGAGGGGGGCUGCUCCUAGUACGAGAGGACCGGAGUGGACGCAUCACUGGUGUUCGGGUUGUCAUGCCAAUGGCACUGCCCGGUAGCUAAAUGCGGAAGAGAUAAGUGCUGAAAGCAUCUAAGCACGAAACUUGCCCCGAGAUGAGUUCUCCCUGAGACUUAGAGUCUCCUGAAGGAACGUUGAAGACGACGACGUUGAUAGGCCGGGUGUGUAAGCGCAGCGAUGCGUUGAGCUAACCGGUACUAAUGAACCGUGAGGCUUAACCUUACAACGCCGAAG
Molecule: ribosomal RNA, 2379 nt
Filed under: Salmonella enterica subsp. enterica serovar Enteritidis
Lineage: Bacteria; Pseudomonadati; Pseudomonadota; Gammaproteobacteria; Enterobacterales; Enterobacteriaceae
Description: partial 23S ribosomal RNA
Rfam family: Bacterial large subunit ribosomal RNA
Source: RNAcentral